UUUUAUUUUAUUUUAUUUCUUUCUUUUUAAUUUUGUAAAAAGUUUUUAUUAGUUUUUGGAGAAAUAAAAAACAGAAAUAAAGGACAAAAACUAAAAAACAUUCAAAAAUCGAAAAAUUAAAAAAAAAAUCGGAUCAUGAGGUUUUGAAGGAAAGAUCAAACUUCUUUUAAAUCUAAUAUGCUAGGAUAAAAGAUUUUUUUAACACAAUUUAAAUUCCUUUUGAUCUUCAGUCCUAUCAUAACCGAAAGCCAAUCCCUAUAAAUUCAACAGAGCAAUCACCAGUAAAGAAGGGGGUAAAGAAACAGAGAGAGAAAUCAACAACGCCACAAAUCAUAGGCAGAAAACCAUACAAGCAGUAAGCAAAAAAUUAGAUUUAGUUUUCUGGUAAAAAGGUUUUUGGAUCUCGAGUUGUUAGUGUUGAAGAUUUUGGAAUUUUCCUUAGAUUAGAUAGAGAUGAGCGGUUUAAAGCUGAUUUUAAGGUGUUUGGAGGGCUGAUAGUGGCAGCGUAUGGCAAAAACAGUAGCGGAAGGGUUUGGUUGUACGUGAUUGCGGCUUUUUAUUUUUAGAUCUACACAAUUUGGUGAAGAUUCAGUGAUAUCUAAUUUGAUAUAGGGACAGAGAAAGUCGAAAGAUUGUUUCCGAAAAUUUUGGUGGGUUUCGAUGACCGGAGGACGAUUAUGGAUGGCGAUAGCGAUGACGACGAUCACCAGUUGCUGGGAAAGUGGCCGUGAACUGGGUUUGGAUGAGCUUUUCGGCAGUAGCUCCCAAGAGUUAGAGAGAAAGGCAGAGAAAAUUAUUGAGGAGGGAGAGGAGAAGGGCAAACGAUGAAGAGAAAAAUAUAUUUUCUGUCUUAAAUAAUGGACUGAAACAGCAUUGUUUUGGAAAGUAAGAAGCCAGGCCCUUUAACCGAGAAGCAGACCCGAAUGAUGCUCCAUCAUGACCAGACGGUUUGUAACCCGGUUCAAGCCGUUUCCUAGUUGAGUGCUAGGCCACUAAGUCGAGCCAUUGAACUAGUGUGGCGCCGAUGCCAAGCCGAUGCUAAGCAGG
This 1047-nucleotide long non-coding RNA is filed under the name Durio zibethinus. RNAcentral's name for it is "long non-coding RNA (DZIB_LNC001177)". Lineage: Eukaryota; Viridiplantae; Streptophyta; Magnoliopsida; Malvales; Malvaceae. The record is from RNAcentral.